RNAcentral lists this ribosomal RNA (253 nucleotides) under uncultured bacterium. Its description in RNAcentral is "partial 16S ribosomal RNA". It matches the Rfam family "Bacterial small subunit ribosomal RNA", at positions 524 to 776 of the family's 1533-position model. The record is from RNAcentral.
UACGAACUGUGCAAACGUUAUUCGGAAUCACUGGGCUUAAAGGGUGCGUAGGCGGCUUGUCAAGUAGGGUGUGAAAGCCCCCGGCUUAACCGGGGAAUUGCGCCCUAAACUGACGAGCUGGAGUGGGACAGGGGUGUGUGGAACUUCCGGUGGAGCGGUGAAAUGUGUUGAUAUCCUAAGGAACACCGGUGGCGAAAGCGGCUCACUGGAUCUCUUCUGACGCUGAGGCACGAAAGCUAGGGUAGCGAACGGG